CAGCAGCCGCGGUAACACGUAGGGUGCGAGCGUUGUCCGGAAUUAUUGGGCGUAAAGAGCUUGUAGGUGGUUUGUCGCGUCUGCUGUGAAAAUCCGAGGCUCAACCUCGGACUUGCAGUGGGUACGGGCAGACUAGAGUGUGGUAGGGGAGACUGGAAUUCCUGGUGUAGCGGUGGAAUGCGCAGAUAUCAGGAGGAACACCGAUGGCGAAGGCAGGUCUCUGGGCCAUUACUGACACUGAGAAGCGAAAGCAUGGGGAGCGAACAGGAUUAGAUACCCCCGUAGUCCCUGUCUCUUAUAC
Molecule: ribosomal RNA, 301 nt
Filed under: uncultured bacterium
Lineage: Bacteria
Description: partial 16S ribosomal RNA
Rfam family: Bacterial small subunit ribosomal RNA
Source: RNAcentral